RNAcentral lists this ribosomal RNA (492 nucleotides) under uncultured bacterium. RNAcentral describes it as "partial 16S ribosomal RNA". It matches the Rfam family "Bacterial small subunit ribosomal RNA", at positions 29 to 507 of the family's 1533-position model. The record is from RNAcentral.
AGUGAACGCUGGCGGUAGGCCUAACACAUGCAAGUCGAACGGCAGCACAGUAAGAGCUUGCUCUUACGGGUGGCGAGUGGCGGACGGGUGAGGAAUACAUCGGAAUCUACUUUUUCGUGGGGGAUAACGUAGGGAAACUUACGAUAAUACCGCAUACGACCUACGGGUGAAAGCAGGGGAUCUUCGGACCUUGCGCGAUUGAAUGAGCCGAUGUCGGAUUAGCUAGUUGGCGGGGUAAAGGCGCACCAAGGCGACGAUCCGUAGCUGGUCUGAGAGGAUGAUCAGCCACACUGGAACUGAGACACGGUCCAGACUCCUACGGGAGGCAGCAGUGGGGAAUAUUGGACAAUGGGCGCAAGCCUGAUCCAGCCAUACCGCGUGGGUGAAGAAGGCCUUCGGGUUGUAAAGCCCUUUUGUUGGGAAAGAAAAGCAGCAGGUUAAUACCCCGCUGUUCUGACGGUACCCAAAGAAUAAGCACCGGCUAACUUCGUG